UACGGAGGGGGCUAGCGUUGUUCGGAAUUACUGGGCGUAAAGCGCACGUAGGCGGCUUUGUAAGUUAGAGGUGAAAGCCCGGGGCUCAACUCCGGAAUUGCCUUUAAGACUGCAUCGCUAGAAUUGUGGAGAGGUAAGUGGAAUUCCGAGUGUAGAGGUGAAAUUCGUAGAUAUUAGGAAAGAACACCAGUGGCGAAGGCGGCUCACUGGCCCGGAACUGACGCUCAUGUGCGAAAGCGUGGGGAGGCAAACAAGGGAUUAAGAAACCCCGGU
This 273-nucleotide ribosomal RNA is filed under the name uncultured bacterium. RNAcentral describes it as "partial 16S ribosomal RNA". It matches the Rfam family "Bacterial small subunit ribosomal RNA", at positions 524 to 791 of the family's 1533-position model. The record is from RNAcentral.